This 1025-nucleotide ribosomal RNA is filed under the name Rossellomorea marisflavi. RNAcentral describes it as "bacterial SSU rRNA". It matches the Rfam family "Bacterial small subunit ribosomal RNA", at positions 58 to 1056 of the family's 1533-position model. The record is from RNAcentral. Lineage: Bacteria; Bacillati; Bacillota; Bacilli; Caryophanales; Bacillaceae.
CAAGUCGAGCGGAUCGAUGGGAGCUUGCUCCCUGAGAUCAGCGGCGGACGGGUGAGUAACACGUGGGUAACCUGGCUGGAAGAAUGGGAUAACUCCGGGAAACCGGGGCUAAUACCGGAUAACACCUACCCCCGCAUGGGGGAAGGUUGAAAGGAGGCUUCGGCUAUCACUUACAGAUGGACCCGCGGCGCAUUAUCUAUUUGGUGAGGUAAUGGCUCACCAAGGCGACGAUGCGUAUCCGACCUGAGAGGGUGAUCGGCCACACUGGGACUGAGACACGGCCCACACUCCUACGGGAGGCAGCAGUAGGGAAUCUUCCCCAAUGGACAAAAGUCUGACAGAGCAACGCCCCGUGAGUGAAAAAAGUUUUCGGAUCGUAAAACUCUGUUGUUAGGGAAAAAAAAGUGCCGUUCAAAUAGGGCGGCGCCUUGACGGUACCUAACCAAAAAGCCCCGGCUAACUACCUGCCAGCAGCCCCGGUAAUACCUAGGUGGCAAGCGUUGUCCGGGAUUAUUUGGCGUAAAGCGCGCGCAGGUCGGUUCUUAAGUCUGAUGUGAAAGCCCACGGCUCAACCGUGGAGGGUCAUUGGAAACUGGGGAACUUGAGUGCAGAAGAAGAAAGUGGAAUUCCCAGUGUAGCGGUGAAAUGCGUAGAUAUUUGGAGGAACACCAGUGGCGAAGGCGACUUUCUGGUCUGUAACUGACACUGAAGCGCGAAAGCGUGGGGAGCAAACAGGAUUAGAUACCCUGGGUAGUCCACGCCGUAAACGAUGAGUGCUAAGUGUUAGAGGGUUUCCGCCCUUUAGUGCUGCAGCUAACGCAUUAAGCACUCCGCCUGGGGAGUACGGUCGCAAGACUGAAACUCAAAGGAAUUGACAGGGGCCCGCACAAGCGGUGGAGCAUGUGGUUUAUUUCGAAGCAACGCGAAGAACCUUUACCAAGGUCUUGACAUUCUUCUUGACAACCCUAGAGAUAGGGCUUUCCCCUUUCAGGGGACAGAAUGACAGUUGGUGCAUGGUUGUCGUA